CCAGCUUCACAAACGCAAACAACACUCCGAAGUCAAACUCAAACAGUUGAAACACUCUUUUCGAAAACUUCUCUUAUCAGAAAUGGCGAAACCCAAAACCUCCGACCUUCUUCUGAUAAUCAUCAUCAUCAUCAACGCCGUAAUCUUGAUUUCAUCUCCACCGUCGCUUGCUUCGUCGUCAUCCAAAUGGACCCCACGCUUCCCCGGCCACUUCUCGCGCAACACCCAGCCUCGUCUCCGACAACAACAAACCAGUGAAGAAAUCCGAUACGAAACGAGGUAUUUCUCGCAGCGCCUCGACCACUUCAGCUUCUCGGAGCAUCCCAGGUUCUCGCAGCGGUACCUCAUCAGUACGGAGCACUGGGUGGGGCCCAACAGACUGGGCCCCAUCUUCGUCUACUGCGGCAACGAGGGCGACAUUGACUGGUUCGCCGCCAACACCGGCUUCGUCUGGGAAAUCGCGCCCCAGUUCGGCGCCAUGGUUCUCUUUCCCGAGCAUAGGUACUAUGGAGAAUCUAUCCCGUUCGGGAGCAGAGAAGAGGCGUAUAGGAACGCGUCGACAUUGUCGUAUCUGACGGCGGAGCAAGCACUUGCUGAUUUUGCUGUUCUGAUUACGGAGCUGAAGCGGAACUUCUCGGCGGAGGAUUGCCCCGUCGUCUUGUUUGGUGGCUCGUAUGGUGGAAUGUUGGCGUCAUGGAUGAGGCUCAAGUAUCCUCACAUUGCUAUUGGCGCGCUUGCUUCCUCAGCGCCAAUUCUUCAGUUUGAAGAUAUCGUUCCAACAGAAAUAUUUUAUGACUUGGUCUCCAACGAUUUCAAGCGUGAAAGUACGAGCUGCUUUAACACCAUAAAAGAGUCCUGGGAUGUAUUUACGUCGGUGGGUGAGAAAAAUGAUGGUCUUCUCGAACUGACUAAAACUUUUCACUUGUGUAGGACAUUAAAGAGGACAGAAGAUCUCACGGACUGGCUAAGCUCUGCUUAUAGUUAUUUGGCAAUGGUUAACUACCCAUAUCCUUCAAACUUCAUUAUGCCUUUGCCUGGACACCCAAUUAGAGAGGUCUGCAAAAAGAUCGACGGUUCUCCCGUGGGGACCAGUACGUUAGAACAGAUAUUCGAAGGCAUAAGCGUAUUCUACAAUUAUACUGGGGAUGUUGAGUGCUUUCAAUUGGAUGACGACCCCCAUGGCAUGGAUGGUUGGAAUUGGCAGGCUUGCACGGAGAUGGUAAUGCCGACGUCUUCUAGCUGGGGGAGCAUGUUUCCACGUUAUGAUUUUAACUUGUCAGCUUAUGAAGAACAGUGCUGGAAUGAUUUUGGUGUAAAACCAAGGCCCAGAUGGAUAACAACAGAAUUUGGUGGACAUGAUAUCAAGGCAGAUUUGGAAAGAUUUGGAAGUAACAUAAUUUUCUUCAAUGGUCUGUUGGAUCCAUGGAGUGGUGGCGGUGUUCUGCAGAAUAUAUCUGAAAGUAUCGUUGCUCUCGUUACUAUAGAAGGAGCCCAUCAUAUAGAUUUACGCGCUUCGACCAAAGAAGAUCCAGACUGGUUAGUAGAGCUGAGAGAAACUGAGAUCAAGCUGAUAAAAGGCUGGAUAGACAACUACUAUCAGAGGAAGACAAAAGUUUUUGUGAUUUAGAGGUCAAAAGUUGUCACUCUUGGUCUCUAUCUGUACAUAGUUCUCUAACUUAAUGGAUCCUACUGGCAAGGUCAUACCUUAUAUUGCCACGGUAAAAAUUUAUCUGCUGUAAUUCCACGAGUGCAUAUCAACAUUUCUAAGUCCAGGAAUAUCAGCCAUAAUAAUCCCAAGCACAUUUGGUAGUUGGCUUAUAACGUUUCACUGCUUGUGGAUAACACCCAAUUGGGGCAAUUUCAAACACCAGGAAUUUUCUGGCUCCCAGGUUGUACAAUUCCUGCAAGUAGCCACACCAGAAGAGUGUAAAAUGCUGCUCAUAAAGUUCCAUUCAACUUAGGGCUCGUUUUGGGAUAACUUUUGUUUUGCUUUUUAAUA
Molecule: RNA transcript, 1999 nt
Organism: Morus notabilis
Lineage: Eukaryota; Viridiplantae; Streptophyta; Magnoliopsida; Rosales; Moraceae
Gene name: lysosomal Pro-X carboxypeptidase
Exons: 10
Source: RefSeq, a predicted model, not a curated record